RNAcentral lists this transfer RNA (75 nucleotides) under archaeon. Its description in RNAcentral is "tRNA-Asp". It matches the Rfam family "tRNA". Rfam says of the family: Transfer RNA (tRNA) molecules are approximately 80 nucleotides in length. Their secondary structure includes four short double-helical elements and three loops (D, anti-codon, and T loops). The record is from RNAcentral.
GGUGCGUUAGAUUAGUUUGGUAAAAUCACCACACUGUCACUGUGGAGAUCAUGGGUUCAAAUCCCAUACGCAUCG